This 743-nucleotide long non-coding RNA is filed under the name Bos indicus x Bos taurus (hybrid cattle). RNAcentral's name for it is "lncRNA (ENSBIXG00005006320.1)". The record is from RNAcentral. Lineage: Eukaryota; Metazoa; Chordata; Mammalia; Artiodactyla; Bovidae.
UUUUUCACUCUCCUCUUUCACCUUCAUCAAGAGGCUUUUUAGUUCCUCUUCACUUUCUGCCAUAAGAGUGGUGUCAUCUGCAUAUCUGAGGUUAUUGAUAUUUCUCCCAGCAAUCUUGAUUCCAGCUUGUGCUUCUUCCAGCCCAGCGUUUCUCAUGAUGUACUCUGCAUAUAAGUUAAAUAAGCAGGGUGACAAUAUACAGCCAUGACGUACUCCUUUUCCUAUUUAGAAGAGAUGAACUCUUGGGUUAUUGCUGAGUUUGGAAUUUUUCUUUUUUAUUUAGAUUGUUGAUUUGAGAUAAUCAACCCACAGCCCUGGGUCUACUGUCCCUCUUUGCCUAACUGCUGCAGCAACCUACAAAGAAAGCUCCAAAGAAAGACUGAUUGAACUGCAAGCAGAAGAAUCCUCUUUGUACUCCUCGAUGUCAAGAAUGUGUCUACACCCUGGCCUAACGCUCUGAACCUUUUCAUAAACAAGAGCAUCAUCAGCACGCUCAGUGCAUCGGAUCAGACCGCGGAGUUGUUGACAGAAGCUUGGCGAGGCUUGCCAGCUUUCCACACGAAAUGCUGGCUUUCUUCUCACACACCCCCUACCGUUUGUGUCUCUGCCAAUUGUAGCACAUCAGAGCGGCCAUUGAGAUAAUGACCGUGAAGUCUCAUGAUACACUUUGAUGAAGUGUAACAUUUUUUAAAGGAUUUUUGUCUGUGCCAAAAUGAUCGAGGCAGCUGACUAAAAAUCACACC